UUUGACCUACGGGGCGCAGCAGUGAGGAAUAUUGGUCAAUGGGCGGUAGCCUGAACCAGCCAAGUAGCGUGAAGGAUGAAGAUUCUAUGGAUUGUAAACUUCUUUUAUAAAGGAAUAAAGUGAGGCACGUGUGCCUUUUUGUAUGUACUUUAUGAAUAAGGAUCGGCUAACUCCGUGCCAGCAGCCGCGGUAAUACGUAGGAUCCGAGCGUUAUCCGGAUUUAUUGGGUUUAAAGGGAGCGUAGAUGGGUUGUUAGGUCAGUUGUGAAAGUUUGCGGCUCAACCGUAAAAUUGUAAUUGAUACUG
This 305-nucleotide ribosomal RNA is filed under the name uncultured bacterium. RNAcentral describes it as "bacterial SSU rRNA". It matches the Rfam family "Bacterial small subunit ribosomal RNA", at positions 333 to 635 of the family's 1533-position model. The record is from RNAcentral.